CCUACGGGUGGCAGCAGUGAGGAAUAUUGGUCAAUGGGCGGAAGCCUGAACCAGCCAAGUAGCGUGCAGGAUGACGGCCCUACGGGUUGUAAACUGCUUUUAUACGGGGAUAAAGCUCCUUACGUGUAGGGCUUUGCAUGUACCGCAUGAAUAAGGACCGGCUAAUUCCGUGCCAGCAGCCGCGGUAAUACGGAAGGUCCGGGCGUUAUCCGGAUUUAUUGGGGUUAAAGGGGGCGUAGGCCGCAUGGGAAGCGUGCGGUGAAAUGUGCGGGCUCAACCCGGGCAUUGCAGCGCGAACUGGAGUGCUUGAGUCCGCGGACAGCAGGCGGAAUUCGUGGUGUAGCGGUGAAAUGCUUAGAUAUGACGAAGAACCCCGAUUGCGAAGGCAGCUUGCUGCAGCGGAACUGACGCUGAUGCUCGAAAGCGCGGGUAUCGAACAGGAUUAGAUACCCGGGUAGUC
Molecule: ribosomal RNA, 460 nt
Filed under: uncultured bacterium
Lineage: Bacteria
Description: partial 16S ribosomal RNA
Rfam family: Bacterial small subunit ribosomal RNA
Source: RNAcentral